UAGCCUAACUCUGGGCCGAAACAUUCAAUUACCUCAAACUUGGGGUAAUUAAACC
RNAcentral lists this small nuclear RNA (55 nucleotides) under Brugia malayi. RNAcentral describes it as "RNA transcript Bm16667". The record is from RNAcentral. Lineage: Eukaryota; Metazoa; Nematoda; Chromadorea; Rhabditida; Onchocercidae.